UAANUNAAAAUUUGAGAGAGAGUUCAAGAGUACGUGAAACUGCUCAGAGGUAAACGGGUGGAACCUCGAAAUCCCGGGGCGAGAGGAUUCAACGUCCGUCGUCGGGGAGCGCAAUCGACAGGCGUGUGGCACGGGCCUAGCGGAGUUCGGUCUGCGUCUCGCUCGGCGUCUGGCGUGCAGUUGACUCCCGCCCUGAAAUGGGGCCCCGCGACCGGUCGGAGCAAAGAGAGAAGAAGGGUAGUGCAGGACAGAGUGGCAGAUUCACGGGCCAGGCCUUCCUCGAGUGGGUCAUGUCCGUGGACCGAGCCGUCCGGAAUUGAUACCCUCGCCCGACCGCGGUCGGACAAAUGAACUAUGCACACAAACUCCUCGUUCCAGCCGCGGGGAGACCGUCUGUCUGUCUUUCAAAGCACGGGUCCGUUCGCACCGAAGUUCGGUGGUCGGCCCGGGCCGAGAAGCGAAUAGUACGAACCAAGCGCAGAGGACGAGGAGGUCUGCGGGGAGUAGGUCGGUCAUCCACCCGACCCGUCUUGAAACACGGACCAAGGAGUCUAACAUGUGCGCGAGUCGCCGGGACUUGUACAGGCCCGGAGGCGAAGUGAAAGCGAUGGUGCAUAUUACGAAAGCCGUGAUCCCCCGAUUAAAGUUCGGGGGCGCAGCGGCGGCCCGUCUUGCGCGCCGAGGCGUGCGGGCGGAGUCUGAGCGCACACGUUGGUACCCGAAAGAUGGUGAACUAUGCACGGCCAGGAUGAAGCCAGAGGAAACUCUGAUGAAGGUCCGAAGCGGUUCUGACGUGCAAAUCGAUCGUCAGAGUUCUGUAUAGGGCAAAAAAAAAAAAUNAUAAAA
RNAcentral lists this ribosomal RNA (846 nucleotides) under Nurscia albofasciata. RNAcentral's name for it is "eukaryotic LSU rRNA". It matches the Rfam family "Eukaryotic large subunit ribosomal RNA", at positions 359 to 939 of the family's 3401-position model. Lineage: Eukaryota; Metazoa; Arthropoda; Arachnida; Araneae; Titanoecidae. The record is from RNAcentral.